CAGAAAUUCAGGAGUGGGCCCAGGAGUCCAUGCUUUCCCAGGCCCUCCAGGGGAACCCUGAUCCACGCUCGACUUUGAGAACCACCGGAAUGGAGCAAAGCGCGGUUGGUUAUUAAUUUUGGAAUGUUUUAGACCCGUUAACCUAAUCCGGGCUCAGAGCCCUAGACGGGGCUGAGAAGGUACAGGAAGAUUGAGCCUCAAUUCUGAUCACUCUGUCCUAUCGCAUGUCCCCGCGUUCAUCAAGAGGAGGGAAAGGCGGGCGAGGACGAGGCUCUGAAGGGGCGGGGACAGGAGAGGAAAAGGGCACGAAGCGUAUGCAGCCAUGUUUUGAAACCCCGACACGGGACGCACAGAAGAGAAACAGGAGCCGUGUCCCUCAUCCACCUGCUGCUCUGGUGGCAGCAGGAGAGACGGACAGGUGAGCAGACGGCAGAGAGGGGAUUUCCCAGGUUUACUGAUGCUGGACGUGGGGGCUGAGGGCGAGGGUCCCAGACGACCCCUGAGAGCAGCAGGGGUGGGCACGAACCCACAGGGCAGCCCACGCCCCCGGCACUGAUGUCUGGGGCAACACACGAGAGGAACAAGGUGAAGGAAGCUAAACAGUAGACAGCUUGAACAGAAGUCACGAGGGCGCACGCAGCCCCAGCUCCCUGGGGACAAGACACUCAGCCGUCCCAGUGGAGCCCGGCGCUCAUUCCCAAGGCUACAGACAGACCCCCAAGGGAGAACCAGGUCCCCUUCACAACCCAGGGAGGACGCCAAGAGCCCCCCCACCCCGAGUGUCACCAGCAUCCGACGCCGACUGGAGAGCCAGCAUGGCUGUCGGCCCCUGCGGAGACCACGAGGUGGUCCAGCCAUCAUCCGUCACCGUCUCCUGCGAUACCUGGAGCGCAGGCAGCCGGUGGGGGCCGUGCAUGAGUUUCACGUUCAUUCUGCAGCACGAGGAGGCCUGACAACGGCGCCAGGAGGGCUUUCGAAAAAAGAUGUGAGUGAGCGAAAUUUUCCAUUCCUUUCAUUGCCCCCAAACCCUGCAAACAGGCUCUGGCCCACAUUUGAACUCUCCAGAAUCAGGUGAUUAUUGUUUUUCUCUUUUGUUUUUCUUGGUUAUGUGCUGCUCGGUCUCUGGGCUGGGCUGUUUGGAGUUUUUGUGGAAGGAUUGCUAAGCACAUUUGUCGAGGCUGGUUUGUGAUGAUGAUGGCUGUGCUUGGGAGAGAAAGUUCCAUGCCAGGUGGUCCUCCUUAGCCCAAGCUGGGCGUGUGACUCGACUCCAACCACAGAGCAUGUUCAGCUGAGCCUCCGGCGGGCUGCCAUUUAUCCUCUGGGUCAAGUUGAACCUGCGCAACUUUCACUUUCUCAUCAUUCUCACGCCUUGAGCCCGGAGAGGGUAAAGGACUCGUCUGAGGUCACACAGCAAAACAAUCUACAUACCUUCCUUCAUUGUAGUCUUCUGUGCUAAGAAGAGAGGAAGCCUUCUGCUCCAAGGAAGACGUCAGGGACCCAAUGUUCCAGAUUGAAGCUGCGCCGUCACCUACCUGGUCCUGAGGUGAGGACGAAGUGGAGCCAAGCUGCUUGCCUCCCUGAGGGACGUGGAGUGAGAGCCAGAAGUAAUCCUUUGCUUAAGUGACUGAGAUUUUCAGAGCUGUUCAUUACGGCAGCAAAACCUAGAACAUCCUGACUGAUGCGAGCUACGUAAUACCCAUUUCCCCACAAUAUAAAUGAGGAAACUCAUGCUCAGAGAGGUUCGGCUAUUUUCCCAAGCUCACACAGCUGGCAAAGGAUAGACCUGGAACUUGAACUGAGAAAGCUGAUGGCAGAAUUUGAGCCAUUAACCACAGCCCCGGGACACAGUGGGGAAGGAGCCAGCCAACACUUAGUUCUAAUCCUGAUUGACAUUUCGGGUCUGAGCAAAGACCUACAACUAACUCAUUGCCCUGAGUCUCUUCCUGCUUCGCUAUUCCUAACGCCCCUGCUUAUUUUAAAGGAGUUUAUUCCAUAUGUUUCUGACCCUCUUUCCUUUAAGCCAUUUUAACUGCAUUGCAGGAAGCUGUCUGAUAUCUAGAGAAACUUCUGGGUCGUGAUUUCUUUUUCUCUCUGUAAGAGAAAACCAGAUGUCGCCUGGAGGGAACGCGGCUGAAGCAGGCUCCCGUGGGUGAGGUGGAUGGGGGACUUCACCCAUGUCUCCAUCCACCGCGGCUUCAGAAAGGACAAGAGAAGAGAAAAGAUUUUCAGAAAAAUCCUAAGAAAGCCAGAGUUACAGUAGAUGACAAAAGAUCUCACCUAUAUCGCGGGGGCAUGGGGAAAGCGUAAAACAGCCUGGAGUUGAACUCUCACUUGUCGAUCCCACGAGGGAUGUGAGACCCUUAUCCCCGACUGUCUUUAAGAAAACAAAUCAGGGAGUGGGGCAGGCUGGCGAGGGGGGAGAGACCAGCGAGCGGUUCUCAGACUGGCUGGUUGCGGGGUGUGGGGGACAGAAUGGGGCCCCUCAAAGGACGCCUCAACAUCCUCACCUCAGAACCUGCGAAUAUGACCCGAUGUGGGAAAAGGGUCUUUGCAGAUGCAGUUAAGUUCAGCA
This 2572-nucleotide long non-coding RNA is filed under the name Equus caballus (horse). Its description in RNAcentral is "lncRNA (ENSECAG00000049892.1)". Lineage: Eukaryota; Metazoa; Chordata; Mammalia; Perissodactyla; Equidae. The record is from RNAcentral.